AGAGCUGUGGAGUGUGACAAUGGUGUUUGUGUCCAAUCUAUCAAACGCCAUUAUCACACUAAAUAGCUACUGGUAG
MicroRNA precursor from Anser brachyrhynchus (Pink-footed goose), 76 nucleotides. Ensembl annotates it as microRNA 122. Its record names the gene MIR122. Lineage: Eukaryota; Metazoa; Chordata; Aves; Anseriformes; Anatidae. The record is from Ensembl.